This 497-nucleotide ribosomal RNA is filed under the name uncultured bacterium. RNAcentral's name for it is "partial 16S ribosomal RNA". It matches the Rfam family "Bacterial small subunit ribosomal RNA", at positions 28 to 507 of the family's 1533-position model. The record is from RNAcentral.
GAUGAACGCUGGCGGCGUGCCUAAUACAUGCAAGUCGAGCGAACGGACGAGAAGCUUGCUUUUCUGAUGUUAGCGGCGGACGGGUGAGUAACACGUGGAUAACCUACCUAUAAGACUGGGAUAACUUCGGGAAACCGGAGCUAAUACCGGAUAAUAUUUUGAACCGCAUGGUUCAAAAGUGAAAGACGGUCUUGCUGUCACUUAUAGAUGGAUCCGCGCUGCAUUAGCUAGUUGGUAAGGUAACGGCUUACCAAGGCAACGAUGCAUAGCCGACCUGAGAGGGUGAUAGGCCACACUGGAACUGAGACACGGUCAAGACUCCUACGGGAGGCAGCAGUAGGGAAUCUGCCGCAAUGGGCGAAAGCCUGACGGAGCAACGCCGCGUGAGUGAUGAAGGUCUUCGGAUCGUAAAACUCUGUUAUUAGGGAAGAACAUAUGUGUAAGUAACUGUGCACAUCGUGACGGUACCUAAUCAGAAAGCCACGGCUAACUACGUG